Eleginops maclovinus (Patagonian blennie) is the source of this 573-nucleotide long non-coding RNA. RefSeq lists it as uncharacterized. The transcript is spliced from 3 exons. NCBI's taxonomy places the organism in Eukaryota, Metazoa, Chordata, Actinopteri, Perciformes, Eleginopidae. The record is from RefSeq and is a predicted model, not a curated record.
UGUAAAACAGUUCAUAUCAAACUUACCAUAGCUGCCCAGGUUCAUGGAACUCAUCUGAUUGGUGAGCUGUUGAGCUUGAGGGGGGGCCGCAGGGGCCAUGUUGUUGUACUGGGACUGUAAAGGCUGUCCAUAAGAAGCAGAAACAGCCGGUGGAGGGUAUCUGAGGAAAACAGGGCAAUUCUUGCACCUGCACGAUCUCUUCAUAUUCGAGAGCCAUGCAGUUGCGGUUUAAGGAAGAUUCUCACCUUUGCGGAUGUGCGCCGUUCUGCUGGACAUUUGGAUUGUACUGACUGGGCGCUGCAGGUGGGGGCACCCCAGCUGCAGAGGAGACUGGUGACUUCAUCAUACCUGCACACUAACAGGUUUGAAAAGAUACACCAACAACGACUGAUAUUUGACCUCGUGCAAUCAUCAACACUCGUGUAACAUGGACCUUUGGCAUUGCUUACUGAGAGAGAUAAAGGAAGGCCUAUCCUUACAAGAAUUAUCUUCAAGGAACUACAUGACUUUCUGUUUGCCUGUCAGAGCGACGAUCCAAUCUCAUCUGCCCGAUUCCUUUAAUGUAAAUACCAU